AUGGUCCCUCCACUCGCAGGCUUGGGUGUGGCCUGGGAUGAUGUCCCCCAGGGGCUGGGCAAGACCCCCUCGAUGGUCCCUCCACUCGCAGGCUUGGGUGUGGCCUGGGAUGAUGUCCCCCAGGGGCUGGGCAAGACCCCCUCGAUGGUCCCUCCACUCGCAGGCUUGGGUGUGGCCUGGGAUGGUGUCCCCCAGGGGCUGGCAAGACCCCCUCGAUGGUCCCUCCACUCGCAGGCUUGGGUAUGGCCUGGGAUGGUGUCCCCCAGGGGCUGGGCAAGACCCCCUCGAUGGUCCCUCCACUCGCAGGCUUGGGUGUGGCCUGGGAUGGUGUCCCCCAGGGGCUGGCAAGACCCCCUCGAUGGUCCCUCCACUCGCAGGCUUGGGUGUGGCCUGGAUGGUGUCCCCCAGGGGCUGGGCAAGACCCCCUCGAUGGUCCCUCCACUCGCAGGCUUGGGUAUGGCCUGGGAUGGUGUCCCCCCGGGGCUGGGCAAGACUCCCUGGAUGGUCUCUCCCCUAGUAGGCUUGGGUGUGGCCUGGGAUGGUGUCCCCCCGGGGCUGGGCAAGACUCCCUGGAUGGUCUCUCCCCUAGUAGGCUUGGGAGUGGUCUGGGAUGGUGUCCCCCCGGGGCUGGGCAAGACUCCCUGGAUGGUCUCUCCCCUAGUAGGCUUGGGUGUGGCCUGGGAUGAUGUCCCCCAGGGGCUGGGCAAGACCCCCUCGAUGGUCCCUCCACUCGCAGGCUUGGGUGUGGCCUGGGAUGGUGUCCCCCAGGGGCUGGGCAAGACCCCCUCGAUGGUCCCUCCACUCGCAGGCUUGGGUGUGGCCUGGGAUGGUGUCCCCCAGGGGCUGGGCAAGACUCCCUGGAUGGUCUCUCCCCUAGUAGGCUUGGGUGUGGCCUGGGAUGGUGUCCCCCAGGGGCUGGGCAAGACUCCCUGGAUGGUCCCUCCACUCGCAGGCUUGGGUGUGGCCUGGGAUGAUGUCCCCCAGGGGCUGGGCAAGACCCCCUCGAUGGUCCCUCCACUCGCAGGCUUGGGUGUGGCCUGGGAUGGUGUCCCCCCGGGGUUGGGCAAGACUCCCUGGAUGGUCUCUCCCCUAGUAGGCUUGGGAGUGGUCUGGGAUGGUGUCCCCCCGGGGCUGGGCAAGACUCCCUGGAUGGUCUCUCCCCUAGUAGGCUUGGGAGUGGUCUGGGAUGGUGGUCCCCCCGGGGCUGGGCAAGACUCCCUGGAUGGUCUCUCCCCUAGUAGGCUUGGGAGUGGUCUGGGAUGGCUCACAAAGCUGGAGGCUGCCACAGCUUGGACUCUUCACCAGCCUUCUCCCUUGCUCUCAUCUCUCCACCACAGUCUACACACAGUCGCCUCUGGGUAGCCAGACUUCUUCCAUGGUGACUCAGAGGUCCAAGCACCACCUCCCCAGAGAAACCAUAAGCAAGUGCAUUGAUUUUUCUAACCUGGCCUCAGGAGCCAAGCAGUAAAAUUUCUGCUGCACUCUAUUUAUUGAGGAUGUACCACCCAGGCUCAGCAGGAGGGACACAGGCCCCAUCCCCUACUCCCAAUCUUCCAGAUUGCGAAGGGGGGGGCGGUCAGGAAUUUGUGGACGUAUUUUAAAACCACCACAGUUUGCUCUUUGGUGAUAAAUUAUUUCCAUUUCUUAUUUUAUAUUCCUUUUAUAUGCAAUCCUAUACAGACUCAUCCCAAGUGAUCUUGUCUAUAAGGGCAUCAAGUUCAAAUUCAAGGUCCGCUAAAUAUGGAUCAGAUGCAGAGAAGUCUCCUCUUGAUCUGGAUAUCUGUGAAACAGAUCAAAUCGCUAUCGCAACAUGGCAAAUGGCUUCCGAAUGCAAGAGUCUGGGAAGAGAUCCAGGCUGCUAGAGAAGCCCUGAAGGGUCAUCUGCUAAGUAUGGGAAAUUAUGGGGGAUGUAAGUGAUAUAUGUGGAUAUAUAGGUAUGUGUACAUCUAUCUACUAGAUACAUAUCUAGAUGCAUGUCGAUAUUGUGAUAAAAUGUAUGUGUAUUUUGACCUGUGUGUCUAUAUAUUUUUGACAAAAACAUUUCUAAUGAUGAAAAAUGUUCACUUUGAAAAACAAUGAACAAGCAGAAGAUUCUACACAAAUCCUGAAGAGGUUACGCAGUGAGGAAAAAUUACUGUGUCUCUAGGUACACGGUAAAGCAUGCUUCAAAAUAAUUAACGAAAAGAACCUGCUUUGCUCAUUUGUUCCUUUUCCUUUACUGACUCUACACUGGUUAAGCCUUAUGUUUUCAGCGAAUACUACAUUGUGAAGAGCCACGGAAAACUUUACAGGACGCUGUAUAUCUCUCAGUGGCUGGCUCCACACAUGUGCUGAAGAUCGGCUACCCGAACAGACAGAAUACAUUUCUGUGUUGCCCUUACUGAAGAGACGGGGACAGGGUGCCCAGUACUGACAUCAGGGGCUGCAGAACACGGUACGCCGUGUUGCUGCCUGUCACAUCUGGUUUCAGUGGGGUUCUGUGUAUGUCUACCCCGCCUACCGUGGAUUGCCAUGAACGAGUGUUCCUCAACUUGGGCCCUGGGGCAGUUGGAUCGUUCCCUCGCACAGAAAGCGCAAGAUGGCUGAAAGAAUAGUUCGUCUGCAGUAGUGUUCCCAACAUCUGCUGAGAUCAACCGGCAGAUGGGAAAGACUCUGAACAUGGCUGAGAGCUAAUAUAUAUCCCCUAAAUAAACAGCCGAGAUGAUCUUAAUAGGAAGCCUGA
RNAcentral lists this long non-coding RNA (2722 nucleotides) under Felis catus (domestic cat). RNAcentral's name for it is "lncRNA (ENSFCAG00000050043.1)". Lineage: Eukaryota; Metazoa; Chordata; Mammalia; Carnivora; Felidae. The record is from RNAcentral.